GUCCAUUUUGGUGGAAAACUUUUACAGAUUUCAGCAGGGGAUGUGUUCCUGAAUCUGAAUGUAACUUCCAGGGAAAUGUCGACGUGAAUGGAGUUAAAUUAGGGAUGGCCUAUACUUGCUGCUCUACUGACGACUGCACUCCUCCUGUUCCUAUAUUAUUAUCCAGCAGUUCUGAGACCAAUGGCCUGGUGUGUCCGUCAUACCAGUCU
This is a long non-coding RNA of Bufo bufo (common toad), 209 nucleotides long. RefSeq lists it as uncharacterized. The transcript has 3 exons. The record is from RefSeq and is a predicted model, not a curated record. NCBI's taxonomy places the organism in Eukaryota, Metazoa, Chordata, Amphibia, Anura, Bufonidae.